This 499-nucleotide ribosomal RNA is filed under the name Bacillus sp. SC20. RNAcentral's name for it is "bacterial SSU rRNA". It matches the Rfam family "Bacterial small subunit ribosomal RNA", at positions 27 to 506 of the family's 1533-position model. Lineage: Bacteria; Bacillati; Bacillota; Bacilli; Caryophanales; Bacillaceae. The record is from RNAcentral.
GGAUGAACGCUGGCGGCGUGCCUAAUACAUGCAAGUCGAGCGAAUGGAUUAAGAGCUUGCUCUUAUGAAGUUAGCGGCGGACGGGUGAGUAACACGUGGGUAACCUACCCAUAAGACUGGGAUAACUCCGGGAAACCGGGGCUAAUACCGGAUAAUAUUUUGAACUGCAUAGUUCGRAAUUGAAAGGCGGCUUCGGCUGUCACUUAUGGAUGGACCCGCGUCGCAUUAGCUAGUUGGUGAGGUAACGGCUCACCAAGGCRACGAUGCGUAGCCGACCUGAGAGGGUGAUCGGCCACACUGGGACUGAGACACGGCCCAGACUCCUACGGGAGGCAGCAGUAGGGAAUCUUCCGCAAUGGACGAAAGUCUGACGGAGCAACGCCGCGUGAGUGAUGAAGGCUUUCGGGUCGUAAAACUCUGUUGUUAGGGAAGAACAAGUGCUAGUUGAAUAAGCUGGCACCUUGACGGUACCUAACCAGAAAGCCACGGCUAACUACGU